GUCCUAGCCGUAAACGAUGGGCACUUUGUUCCGGAAGGUCUGAUCCUUUCGGAGCCGGAGCAAACGCGUUAAGUGCCCCGCCUGGGGAGUAUGGUCGCAAGGCUAAAACUCAAAGGAAUUGACGGGGGCUCACACAAGCGGUGGAGCAUGUUGUUCAAUUCGAAGCAACGCGAAGAACCUUACCUGGGCUUGACAUGCUAGUGGUAGGAACCUGAAAGGGCGACGACCUUCGCAAGAAGGAGCUAGCACAGGUGCUGCAUGGCUGUCGU
Molecule: ribosomal RNA, 269 nt
Filed under: uncultured bacterium
Lineage: Bacteria
Description: partial 16S ribosomal RNA
Rfam family: Bacterial small subunit ribosomal RNA
Source: RNAcentral